CUGUUAGAUGAUAGGGCGAAGUCUGAUGCAGCAAUGCCGCGUGAGGGAUGAAGGCUUUUGGGUUGUAAAGCUCUUUCACUUUGGAAGAAAAUAUCUGUACGUACCUAAGGUGGGCCGGCUCUGUUGCCGCCAGCCCCCCCGGUACUAUAAUAUGCG
Molecule: ribosomal RNA, 156 nt
Filed under: uncultured bacterium
Lineage: Bacteria
Description: partial 16S ribosomal RNA
Source: RNAcentral